This 77-nucleotide ribosomal RNA is filed under the name Proboscia alata. RNAcentral describes it as "partial Bacterial large subunit ribosomal RNA". Lineage: Eukaryota; Bacillariophyta; Melosirophyceae; Probosciales; Probosciaceae. The record is from RNAcentral.
CGACGAGAGCGCAUGCUGGUGCAGUGAGGAAAAGGCGUAAAGAACCCUGUUUACGGUACUAAGAAAGCACUUGUAAA